CACUAUCGUUAACUGAAUACAUAGGUUAACGAGGCGAACCGGGGGAACUGAAACAUCUAAGUACCCCGAGGAAAAGAAAUCAACCGAGAUUCCCCCAGUAGCGGCGAGCGAACGGGGAGCAGCCCAGAGUCUGAAUCAGCUUGUGUGUUAGUGGAACGGUCUGGAAAGUCCGACGGUACAGGGUGAUAGUCCCGUACACCAAAAUGCACAGGUUGUGAACUCGAAGAGUAGGGCGGGACACGUGGUAUCCUGUCUGAAUAUGGGGGGACCAUCCUCCAAGGCUAAAUACUCCUGACUGACCGAUAGUGAACCAGUACCGUGAGGGAAAGGCGAAAAGAACCCCGGCGAGGGGAGUGAAAAAGAACCUGAAACCGUGUACGUACAAGCAGUGGGAGCACCUUCGGGUGUGACUGCGUACCUUUUGUAUAAUGGGUCAGCGACUUAUAUUCUGUAGCAAGGUUAACCGUAUAGGGGAGCCGCAGGGAAACCGAGUCUUAACUGGGCGUUAAGUUGCAGGGUAUAGACCCGAAACCCGGUGAUCUAGCCAUGGGCAGGUUGAAGGUUGGGUAACACUAACUGGAGGACCGAACCGACUAAUGUUGAAAAAUUAGCGGAUGACUUGUGGCUGGGGGUGAAAGGCCAAUCAAACCGGGAGAUAGCUGGUUCUCCCCGAAAGCUAUUUAGGUAGCGCCUCGUGAACUCAUCUUCGGGGGUAGAGCACUGUUUCGGCUAGGGGGUCAUCCCGACUUACCAACCCGAUGCAAACUACGAAUACCGAAGAAUGUUAUCACGGGAGACACACGGCGGGUGCUAACGUCCGUCGUGAAGAGGGAAACAACCCAGACCGCCAGCUAAGGUCCCAAAGUCAUGGUUAAGUGGGAAACGAUGUGGGAAGGCACAGACAGCCAGGAUGUUGGCUUAGAAGCAGCCAUCAUUUAAAGAAAGCGUAAUAGCUCACUGGUCGAGUCGGCCUGCGCGGAAGAUGUAACGGGGCUAAACCAUGCACCGAAGCUGCGGCAGCGACACUAUGUGUUGUUGGGUAGGGGAGCGUUCUGUAAGCCUGCGAAGGUGUGCUGUGAGGCAUGCUGGAGGUAUCAGAAGUGCGAAUGCUGACAUAAGUAACGAUAAAGCGGGUGAAAAGCCCGCUCGCCGGAAGACCAAGGGUUCCUGUCCAACGUUAAUCGGGGCAGGGUGAGUCGACCCCUAAGGCGAGGCCGAAAGGCGUAGUCGAUGGGAAACAGGUUAAUAUUCCUGUACUUGGUGUUACUGCGAAGGGGGGACGGAGAAGGCUAUGUUAGCCGGGCGACGGUUGUCCCGGUUUAAGCAUGUAGGCUGGUUGUCCAGGCAAAUCCGGAUAAUCAAGGCUGAGGUGUGAUGACGAGGCACUACGGUGCUGAAGUAACAAAUGCCCUGCUUCCAGGAAAAGCCUCUAAGCAUCAGGUAACAUUAAAUCGUACCCCAAACCGACACAGGUGGUCAGGUAGAGAAUACCAAGGCGCUUGAGAGAACUCGGGUGAAGGAACUAGGCAAAAUGGUGCCGUAACUUCGGGAGAAGGCACGCUGGUGUGUAGGUGAAGUCCCUGCGGAUGGAGCUGAGACCAGUCGAAGAUACCAGCUGGCUGCAACUGUUUAUUAAAAACACAGCACUGUGCAAACACGAAAGUGGACGUAUACGGUGUGACGCCUGCCCGGUGCCGGAAGGUUAAUUGAUGGGGUUAUCCGUAAGGAGAAGCUCUUGAUCGAAGCCCCGGUAAACGGCGGCCGUAACUAUAACGGUCCUAAGGUAGCGAAAUUCCUUGUCGGGUAAGUUCCGACCUGCACGAAUGGCGUAAUGAUGGCCAGGCUGUCUCCACCCGAGACUCAGUGAAAUUGAACUCGCUGUGAAGAUGCAGUGUACCCGCGGCAAGACGGAAAGACCCCGUGAACCUUUACUAUAGCUUGACACUGAACAUUGAGCCUUGAUGUGUAGGAUAGGUGGGAGGCUUUGAAGCGUGGACGCCAGUCUGCGUGGAGCCAACCUUGAAAUACCACCCUUUAAUGUUUGAUGUUCUAACGUUGGCCCCUUACCGGGGUUGCGGACAGUGUCUGGUGGGUAGUUUGACUGGGGCGGUCUCCUCCCAAAGCGUAACGGAGGAGCACGAAGGUUAGCUAAUCCUGGUCGGACAUCAGGAGGUUAGUGCAAUGGCAUAAGCUAGCUUGACUGCGAGCGUGACGGCGCGAGCAGGUGCGAAAGCAGGUCAUAGUGAUCCGGUGGUUCUGAAUGGAAGGGCCAUCGCUCAACGGAUAAAAGGUACUCCGGGGAUAACAGGCUGAUACCGCCCAAGAGUUCAUAUCGACGGCGGUGUUUGGCACCUCGAUGUCGGCUCAUCACAUCCUGGGGCUGAAGUAGGUCCCAAGGGUAUGGCUGUUCGCCAUUUAAAGUGGUACGCGAGCUGGGUUUAGAACGUCGUGAGACAGUUCGGUCCCUAUCUGCCGUGGGCGCUGGAGAAUUGAGGGGGGCUGCUCCUAGUACGAGAGGACCGGAGUGGACGCAUCACUGGUGUUCGGGUUGUCAUGCCAAUGGCACUGCCCGGUAGCUAAAUGCGGAAGAGAUAAGUGCUGAAAGCAUCUAAGCACGAAACUUGCCCCGAGAUGAGUUCUCCCUGAGACUUUAAGUCUCCUGAAGGAACGUUAAAGACGAUGACGUUGAUAGGCCGGGUGUGUAAGCGCAGCGAUGCGUUGAGCUAACCGGUACUAAUGAACCGUGAGGCUUAACCUUACAACGCCGAAG
This 2770-nucleotide ribosomal RNA is filed under the name Klebsiella pneumoniae. RNAcentral describes it as "bacterial LSU rRNA". It matches the Rfam family "Bacterial large subunit ribosomal RNA". The record is from RNAcentral. Lineage: Bacteria; Pseudomonadati; Pseudomonadota; Gammaproteobacteria; Enterobacterales; Enterobacteriaceae.